Molecule: long non-coding RNA, 755 nt
Organism: Papaver somniferum (opium poppy)
Lineage: Eukaryota; Viridiplantae; Streptophyta; Magnoliopsida; Ranunculales; Papaveraceae
Exons: 3
Source: RefSeq, a predicted model, not a curated record
AUUUUUGUAUCUCUUUUGUAGUCCAAAGGUCUGUGUUUUGGUAGGAAUUUGAGAACAAUGAAAUGGUGUGUGUGUUGGUAUCUCGGGCAGAUUGGUGAAUCCACGUCUUGAACAAAUUAUUUACAUCAAGAUUCUCGCAGGAUCUCCAGACUUGAUAGAGGGUGAUCCCCUCAAUUCUGUAAUCUUCGAUGUUUGAAGUUGAAUAUAUGGUUUAAAAGACGCUGCUUCACCGCAGUAACAUCCUUACUUAAGACCUGUCCUUGUAUAGAAUCUCUUUAUCUUACAUCAGCGGAGUUGAACUUUACAGCCGACAAAGAUGAUGGUGAAGUGGAAUUAUCAGUGUCAUCCAUAUUGUGUCACCUCAAGCGAAUCGAAAUCAGAGAACUUAAAGGGUGUGAUGCUGAAGUCAGGUUUCUAGAACUUCUACUGAUGAAUGCUCCGGUAUUGGAGGAAAUGGUUUUGUCUUUUGACAAAUCAAGCUCACCGGAAAUAGCAGGCUCAACUGAUAGAUUGCAGGUUGCGAAGAAGUUGGGUGAGAAGCUGAGAUCACUUUCAAAAGCUUCGCCAAGUCUGGCAAUGAUCUUCUUGUAAUUUUACUAAAUGCUAUAAGUUUUCCAAGGCUUGUUGUCAUUGGAUACUCCUGUUGUUCUUUUUAAGCACCUUAAAUGCUGUAAGGAAAGAUGGAAAUACCGUGUCCCGUUCUUGCUCGCCUUCAAUCAUAAACCAAAAUAGAGACUCCAUCCUCUAGUUCAGCC